RNAcentral lists this ribosomal RNA (254 nucleotides) under uncultured bacterium. Its description in RNAcentral is "partial 16S ribosomal RNA". It matches the Rfam family "Bacterial small subunit ribosomal RNA", at positions 524 to 776 of the family's 1533-position model. The record is from RNAcentral.
UACGGGGGGGGGCAAGCGUUGUUCGGAAUUACUGGGCGUAAAGGGCCCGUAGGCGGCCAACUCAGUCGGAUGUGAAAUCCCCAGGCUCAACUUGGGAACUGCAUCCGAUACUGGAUGGCUUGAAUCCGGGAGAGGGAUGCAGAAUUCCAGGUGUAGCGGUGAAAUGCGUAGAUAUCUGGAGGAAUACCGGUGGCGAAGGCGGCAUCCUGGACCGGCAUUGACGCUGAACGGCGAAAGCUAGGGGAGCAAACGGG